UCUGAGGGCGACGCGCUCUCGGCGCUGCGCCGCAGCCUGCGGGACCCCGGCGGCGUGCUGCAGAGCUGGGAUCCCACCCUCGUCAACCCCUGCACCUGGUUCCACGUCACCUGUGACCGCGACAACCGCGGCACCCGCCUGACAGACUAG
RNAcentral lists this ribosomal RNA (150 nucleotides) under Triticum aestivum (bread wheat). RNAcentral describes it as "partial small subunit ribosomal RNA". The record is from RNAcentral. Lineage: Eukaryota; Viridiplantae; Streptophyta; Magnoliopsida; Poales; Poaceae.